AAAACAUCUUUUCUUGUUUUAUUAUUUGAAAUUUGACCUGCCCAAUGAUUAUUUUAAUGGCCGCAGUAUUUUAACUGUGCAAAGGUAGCAUAAUCAUUAGUCUAUUAAUUGUGGACUUGUAUGAAUGGUUGGACGAAAUAUUUACUGUCUCUCAUUUUAUUAUAUAAUUUGAAUUUUUGGUUAAAAUGCUUAAAUUUUGUUGUUGGACGAGAAGACCCUAUAGAUCUUUAUUAUUAUUUAUUUUUAUUUUUUUGGUUUAACAUUUGUUAAUUUAUAAUUUAUUUAAUUGUUUUGUUGGGGCGAUGUAGAGAAAAAUAUAACUCUUUAUUUUUAUUUUCACUGAUUAGUGUUUUCUUGACCUUUUAUUAAUGUUAUAAGAUAUAGAUACCUUAGGGAUAACAGCGUAAUCUUUUUUGAGAGUUCUUAUCGACAAAAGGGGUUGCGACCUCGAUGUUGGAUUAAGAUUAUUAUUGGGUGUAGUUGCUUAAUUAAUAGGUCUGUUCGACCUUUAAAAUCUUACA
RNAcentral lists this ribosomal RNA (521 nucleotides) under Hoploclonia cuspidata. RNAcentral's name for it is "partial 16S ribosomal RNA". It matches the Rfam family "Bacterial large subunit ribosomal RNA", at positions 1810 to 2600 of the family's 2925-position model. The record is from RNAcentral. Lineage: Eukaryota; Metazoa; Arthropoda; Insecta; Phasmatodea; Heteropterygidae.